Molecule: long non-coding RNA, 165 nt
Organism: Condylura cristata (star-nosed mole)
Lineage: Eukaryota; Metazoa; Chordata; Mammalia; Eulipotyphla; Talpidae
Exons: 3
Source: RefSeq, a predicted model, not a curated record
GGCAGGUAGGGGUUCUCCGGGGUCCAGACCUGGCCCGGGUCCCUCACCUGCCCCACAACCUCCACCAGGCUUCGGCGAGCCCAUGAAACCCCAGAAGCCAGGCCCCCCAGCUCAGAAUGGCUAUGGAGCAGGCAUCAGAGCGCCGGCUAAGCCUCAGAAGCCAGG